UAUUAUCACGUAUGGUGGUGGUGUGCAAGGAAAUGGAGCAGCAUGAUGGUAGCUAAUGCUGUUAUCUUCACAUGUAAGAUGUAUGAGCUUCAGUUAGUCAUGCUAUUAUCAUGUAUAGUCAAAAAUGAUUAGUUUAAUCGGAAUUUAGAGUUUCAUUCUUAGUUCUCUGAAAUAUUGUUUUUAUAUGUAAUUCCUGCAGAGUGUAGUAUAUUGGGAGCCAAGGCCGAGUAGCAAGCCAUGUGUCACCGCAAGGACAGGAGCGAGAUUUAAUUAAUUGUAUUUGCAAGAUUUGGUCUUCCGUUCUUGUUUUCUUGGUCAUCUCACAGGUUUUAUCACUUACAUUUCCUUCUAUGGUGGUCUGAUCAUUGUACUUUGGGACAUUGUACUUUUAGGACGUAAUGUGCACUUCUGGUUGUUAUUUUAAAUUGCUCAUGUCUUGAUAUGUCUUUCAAAUUCUUGACAUCUGCGCCAGUAGCCUAAACCUCCAUGGCAUGCUCCAUCGGAGUAUUUUGUUUGUUGCACAAUUUUCAAGUGCGACCUUCCAAUUUAUUUUGUUGUAACUAUAAGGUUUGGCACCUCAGAUAAGUUCUCGAAAUACCAAUGUCAUAUUUCAAUUAGAAAAUAAGUUUUAGUUUGAUCAUGCAUGCAAUUGUAAUAACCCUACUUUGAGCUUUUAUGUACUGGUUUAAAUAGUUAAAUCUUCUAGAUUCUUUUGCAUAUUUUCUUGGAAUUAUAC
RNAcentral lists this long non-coding RNA (736 nucleotides) under Triticum aestivum (bread wheat). Its description in RNAcentral is "long non-coding RNA (TAES_LNC006190)". The record is from RNAcentral. Lineage: Eukaryota; Viridiplantae; Streptophyta; Magnoliopsida; Poales; Poaceae.